GGGGCGGAGUGGUCGCAGCCACUAAAAAUGCAUUUUUUCAUUCUGGCUGUGAUAAUGAUAAUGUUUGAUCUAAUUUAAUUCCAACUCGGUGAUCUGAUAGAUAUUUAUACCCGGUACUCGAAGAGUAAAUAGGGUAUAUUGUAUUUGUGUGUAUAACGGUUGCAUGUAACGCACAUAAAGAAACGUUUCCGACCCCAUAAAGUAUAAAUAUUCUUGAUCAGCAUCAAUAGACGAGUCGAUUGAGCCAUGUCUGUCUGUCCGUCUGUCCGUCUUGUUUGUCGGCUAGUUCUCAGAGACUAUAAGAGCUAGAGCCUUCAAAUUUUGCAUCCAGACUGCUAUAUACUCACACUGAAACCAGUGUAUUUCAAAAAUGAACCACGCCCCCUUUCGCCCCCGCAAAAGGUCGAAAACCUCCCGAAUCUACAGUUUUGAAGAUAAAACUUGAAAGAAAACUAAAAACGCCAUUACGUAGGGAAUGGCCAAAUCUAUCAGAUCACCAAAUUGGGAUCCGAUUGGAUCAUUAUUAUAGCCACAAUGAAGAUAUUAAUUUCCAGUGGCUAAACCCACCCUGUCCCGCAGAUUUUCUUGUUAUUAUCACAUUCUCUCCUUCACACUCUGCUUCUGCUUCACUCGGCCCCUGCCUCUGCCCUCCCCCUGCCGAUGACUCUUCCGAAUUUUAACCCACCCCGUCCCGCAGCUUAUAUUUGUUUUUUUUUUGUGUGAGGGCGCUGCCUCUGCCUCUGCCGCAAGUCAGCAGUAUGUGGGUCUAGGGAAGGGCGGCGAGCGUGUUGGUGUGAGAAGCGUUGUAGAUGUAGAUGACAGUUGAAGACAAAAUUUAAAAUUUGACAAAACACCGCUAAGGUGCAGAUGUGGUACUGAGUGCCGGGUAUAAAAGUUGUGACGCGUAAGAAGCGUCUCACACGUCCCUUCUCGUUUUAGUUUUAUUUUAGCUUGAAAAUUGUGCAGAUUUUCGCACUUUGCCGGGGCGGAACGAAAUUUUGAAAUACACUUGUAACAGUUUGAGCAUACAGCCAUCUGGAUGCAAAGUUUGGUGGCUCUAGCUUUUAUAGUCUCUGAGAUCCAGGCGCUCAACAAGACGGACGAACGGACGGACGGACGCACAGACAGACAUGGCUAUAUAGACUCUGCUAUUGAUGCUGAUCAAUAAUAAAUAUACUUUAUGGGGUCGGAAAUGUUUCCUUCUGUGCGUUAC
This 1213-nucleotide long non-coding RNA is filed under the name Drosophila guanche. Lineage: Eukaryota; Metazoa; Arthropoda; Insecta; Diptera; Drosophilidae. The record is from RNAcentral.